GCCAUGCCAUCAGCUUGUGGGCGGGCCUAGCCUACUCCUGGUUGCUUGGCAACAGUAAACAGAAAUUCUCUGGUGCUACCUUCAAGCAUGUCUUACAA
This is a long non-coding RNA of Etheostoma spectabile (orangethroat darter), 98 nucleotides long. RefSeq lists it as uncharacterized. NCBI's taxonomy places the organism in Eukaryota, Metazoa, Chordata, Actinopteri, Perciformes, Percidae. The record is from RefSeq and is a predicted model, not a curated record. The transcript is spliced from 3 exons.